UCUCCCGUGAGGGAGCAGUCUCGCCUGGCCAUAUAGGCAACAGACAACGGGGGUUGCGUUCGUUACCCCACUGAAGGGAACAGCUCAAGCCACGAACUGACGACGACCAUGCAUCACCUGUCCAGCACCCUCGAAGGCUUCCUGGUUUUCACCGGGAAUGCAGCUGGAUUUCUAACCUUGGUAAGGUUCUUCGUUUGCCAUCGAAUUGAGCCACAUAAUCCACUGCUUGUGCGAGUCCCCGUCUAUUCCUUUGAGUUUUAAUCUUGCGAUCGUACUACCCAGGCGGCUCGCUUACCGCGUUAGCUUAGCCUCACAGAGGGUCGAUACUCCGUAAAGCGAGCGAGCAACGUUGAGGGCCAGGACUA
RNAcentral lists this unclassified non-coding RNA (365 nucleotides) under uncultured bacterium. RNAcentral describes it as "contains 16S-23S intergenic spacer region". The record is from RNAcentral.